GAUGAAGAACGUAGCAAAAUGCGAUACUUGGUGUGAAUUGCAGAAUCCCGUGAACCAUCGAGUUUUUGAACGCAAGUUGCGCCCGAAGCCUUUUGGCCGAGGGCACGUCUGCCUGGGCGUCACGCAUCGCGUCGCCCCCCACAAUUCUCCGUAAAGGGAACGUGUGUUUUGGGGGCGGAUAUUGGUCUCCCGUGCUCAUGGCGUGGUUGGCCGAAAUAGGAGUCCUUUCGAUGGACGCACGAACUAGUUGUGGUCGUAAAAACCCUCGUCUUUUGUUUCGUGCUGUUGCUCGCAAGGUAAACUCUUUAAAAACCCCAAUGUGUCGUCUCUUGACGACGCUUCGACCGCGACCCCAGGUCAGGCGGGACUACCCGCUGAGUUUAAGCAUAUCAAUAAGCGGAGGA
RNAcentral lists this unclassified non-coding RNA (404 nucleotides) under soil metagenome. RNAcentral's name for it is "partial contains 5.8S ribosomal RNA, internal transcribed spacer 2, and large subunit ribosomal RNA". The stretch from base 1 to 122 matches the Rfam family "5.8S ribosomal RNA", at positions 35 to 154 of the family's 154-position model. The record is from RNAcentral.